RNAcentral lists this ribosomal RNA (2937 nucleotides) under Drosophila yakuba. RNAcentral describes it as "eukaryotic LSU rRNA". The stretch from base 1543 to 2937 matches the Rfam family "Eukaryotic large subunit ribosomal RNA", at positions 1889 to 3320 of the family's 3401-position model. The record is from RNAcentral. Lineage: Eukaryota; Metazoa; Arthropoda; Insecta; Diptera; Drosophilidae.
AUUAAGUCCUUGCUUAAUGGAACUGUUGAGUCGGUAAUGCCAAGCCGAGAAUAUAUGGAGCCCUACUGGAGAGAAGUAAUGACUCAGCCUAGCCCAAGCUCUAGCAAUGGUGAAGUGGCCGUUACGGACCACUCGCUAAGAGAUGGUAUGGUCAGCUAUAACGGAGCAAGAGUAUCAUUAUCUUAAUCUCCGGGGCCUGACGGGGUAACUCCAAAAUCUGCCAGGGAGGUUCCGUCAGGUAUUAUGCUACGCAUGAUGAACCUAAUUCUAUGGUGCGGUAAUAUCGGUGCCAUCAGUCCUGGUAAGACAGCUAAAUGCCAUCUUGGCAACCUGGUUGACCUCAUCAAUCAACUGGGACCCGCGCCAGCGGGGCUUCUUACCAACCGACGGAUGUGCCGAUAAUGCGACGAUAGUUGACCUAGUCCUGAGCCACAAAUAUUACAGAAAUUGCUACAUCGCAAACUUAGAUGUGAGCAAGGCAUUCGACUCAUUGUCACAUACUGCUAUAUAUGAAACUUUACGAGCUUAUGGAGCUCCAAAGGGCUUGGUUGACUAUGUACAAAAUACGUACGAGGGCGGCGGUAACAGUCUCAACGGGGAAGGUUGGUGUUCAGAGGAAUUCGUCCCUACUAGAGGAGUGAAGCAGGGUGACCCUUUGUCCCCCAUUCUAUUUAACUUGGUCAUCGACCGAUUACUUAGAGCCCUACCUAGCGAGAUUGGUACCAAAGUCGGAAAUGCCAUGAUAAACGCGGCCGCGUUUGCAGAUGAUUUGGUACUGUUUGCGGAAACUCGGAUGGGGCUUCAAACUUUGUUGGACAAGACUACGGAGUUCUUAGAUAUUGUCGGCCUUAAACUUAAUGCUGAUAAAUGCUUUACAGUCGGUAUUAAAGGCCAGCCGAAACAGAAGUGUACUGUGUUAGAGGCACAGAGCUUUUGCGUAGGCUCAAAUCAGAUUCCAACAUUGAAGCGUACUAAUACGUUUCUAUGUGCGAAGAUGGCUAAAUCUUCCGUCGGAUGUGCCGGUAGCAUUCGUUCAUGCCCCCCAAGGUUUUUGGGGGCGGAAUUCCAUCAAUGAGAUGGGUAGCACCAAUGCUAAGACUUAGAAGAUUGAGCAACAUAAAAUGGCCUCACCUCGUACAAUCCGAGGAAGCCAGCUCCUUCCUCGAAGCAGAAAAACAAAGGGCCCGAGGUAGAUUGAUAGCUGAACAAAAUGAAUUGUUAUCGCGUCCGGCAAUAGAAAAGUAUUGGGCGAACAGAUUGUACCUCUCCGUUGACGGCAGCGGACUCCGUGAAGCGGGCCACUACGGUCCUCAACACGGGUGGGUUAGUCAACCCACGCGUUUACUAACAGGAAAGGAAUAUAUAUACGGUAUUCGUCUGCGGAUAAAUGCCCUACCCACAAAGUCUCGUACUACGAGGGGAAGGCUCGAAUUGGAACGGCAGUGUCGUGCGGGAUGUGACGCUCCCGAAACAACAAACCACAUUAUGCAAAAAAGGUAUCGUUCGCAUGGGAGGCGCGUAGCUAGACACAACUGCGUAGUAAAUCGAAUCAAGCGGGGACUUGAGAAGAGAGGCUGCGUGGUCAUUGCUGAACCAAGUCUGCAGUGCGAAUCCGGCCUUAAUAAACCAGACCUGGUUGUACUCCGACCUAAUCACACGGAUGUGAUUGACAUAGGUUGUUACAGACGGACACUCUAUGGAUGAUGCGCAUCAGCGCAAAAUAAAUAGAUACGACAGACCGGACAUACGAACGGAAUUGCGACGCCGAUUCGAGGGGGAGGGGGAUUUGGAAUGGUCAAUCCAAAUGCCUCGACAUCUAAUUAGUGACGCGCAUGAAUGGAUUAACGAGAUUCCUACUGUCCCAAUCUACUAUCUAGCGAAACCACAGCCAAGGGAACGGGCUUGGAAUAAUUAGCGGGGAAAGAAGACCCUUUUGAGCUUGACUCUAAUCUGGCAGUGUAAGGAGACAUAAGAGGUGUAGAAUAAGUGGGAGAUAUUACCCUCGGUUUGGUAUCGUCAAUGAAAUACCACUACUCUUAUUGUUUCCUUACUUACUUGAUUAAAUGGAACGUGUAUCAUUUCCUAGCCAUUAUACGGACAUAUUUAUUAUAUCUUAUGGUAUUGGGUUUUGAUGCAAGCUUCUUGAUCAAAGUAUCACGAGUUUGUUAUAUACUCGCAAAUAAAUUCUUUAAUAAAACGAUGCAUUUAUGUAUUUUUGAUUUGAAAAUUUGGUAUAACUCCAAUUACUCAGGUAUGAUCACUGGGGCGGUACAUCUCUCAAAUAAUAACGGAGGUGUCCCAAGGCCAGCUCAGUGCAGACAGAACAAAAGGGCAAAUGCUGACUUGAUCUCGGUGUUCAGUACACACAGGGACAGCAAAAGCUCGGCCUAUCGAUCCUUUUGAUUUAAAGAGUUUUUAACCAGAAGUGUCAGAAAAGUAACCAUAGGUAUAACUGGCUUGUGGCGGCCAAGCGUUCAUAGCGAAGUCGCUCUGAUGUCGGCUCUUCCUAUCAUUGUGAAGCAAAAUUCACCAAGCGUUGGAUUGUUCACCCAUGCAAGGGAAAGUGAGCUGGGUUUAGACCGUCGUGAGACAGGUUAGUUUUACCCUACUAAUGACAAAACGUUGUUGCGACAGCAUUCCUGCGUAGUAUGAGAGGAACCGCAGGUACGGACCAAUGGCACAAUACUUGUUGGAGCGAACAGUGGUAUGACGCUACGUCCGUUGGAUUAUGCCUGAACGCCUCUAAGGUCGUAUCCGUGCUGGACUGCAAUGAUAAAUAAGGGGCAAUUUGCAUUGUAUGGCUUCUAAACCAUUUAAAGUUUAUAAUUUACUUUAUAAACGACAAUGGAUGUGAUGCCUAUGUAAUUUGUAACAUAGUAAAUUGGGAGGAUCUUCGAUCACCUGAUGCCGCGCUAGUUACAUAUAAAAGCAUUAUUU